UACGGAGGGUGCAAGCGUUAUCCGGAUUCACUGGGUUUAAAGGGUGCGUAGGUGGGUCUGUAAGUCAGUGGUGAAAUCUCCAAGCUUAACUUGGAAACUGCCGUUGAUACUAUAGAUCUUGAAUGUUGUGGAGGUGAGCGGAAUAUGUCAUGUAGCGGUGAAAUGCUUAGAUAUGACAUAGAACACCAAUUGCGAAGGCAGCUCACUACACAAAGAUUGACACUGAGGCACGAAAGCGUGGGGAGCAAACAGG
RNAcentral lists this ribosomal RNA (253 nucleotides) under uncultured bacterium. Its description in RNAcentral is "partial 16S ribosomal RNA". It matches the Rfam family "Bacterial small subunit ribosomal RNA", at positions 524 to 776 of the family's 1533-position model. The record is from RNAcentral.